RNAcentral lists this transfer RNA (57 nucleotides) under Bos taurus (domestic cattle). It matches the Rfam family "tRNA", at positions 8 to 63 of the family's 71-position model. From Rfam's summary of the family: Transfer RNA (tRNA) molecules are approximately 80 nucleotides in length. Their secondary structure includes four short double-helical elements and three loops (D, anti-codon, and T loops). Further hydrogen bonds mediate the characteristic L-shaped molecular structure. tRNAs have two regions of fundamental functional importance: the anti-codon, which is responsible for specific mRNA codon recognition, and the 3' end, to which the tRNAs corresponding amino acid is attached (by aminoacyl-tRNA synthetases). tRNAs cope with the degeneracy of the genetic code in two manners: having more than one tRNA (with a specific anti-codon) for a particular amino acid; and 'wobble' base-pairing, i.e. permitting non-standard base-pairing at the 3rd anti-codon position. RNAcentral also lists the same sequence under 3 other names. The record is from Rfam by way of RNAcentral. Lineage: Eukaryota; Metazoa; Chordata; Mammalia; Artiodactyla; Bovidae.
UAGCUCAGACGGUAAAGCGCCUGUCUACAAGGCAGAAGACCCAGGUUCAAUCCCUGG